UCAAAACUGAAAGGAUUGGAACGGUUGCACAUCAUAUCUAGUACGUAUGUUGCCUUCAAUGAAAUACCUUGUUUUUCUGUAUCAAAAUUCUUUGACAUUUUGUCUUGUUAUAAAUAUUAUCGUACCUCCCUGUACUGAUUAUUCUAUUUCUAUAUGAAAUAUAUUAUGAAGUACAGAGUGUAAAAAAUCUUAAAAGGUAGAUUGACCUUUGACCAGCACCUCAAUUUCAAGGUCAUGAAAUUCGAAGCAGUAGGUUUCUACUAUAUAUUGUUCAUGUUAACAAUACUGAUGAUGAUAACUUGAUGAUCUGUAAAAAAUGACCCAUAUGAAUUAAAGAUGCGUCAGGUAACAAUUUUGUCAUUUGUCUAGUUAAAAAAAAAAGAAACAAAGAAGUAGAAAGGAAACAAUAAUGAAAACUUUUUUACCUUAAAAUAAUGAUAACAAAAACAUCGAAAUAAAAAAAAAUCGUAAACACAGGCAAAAUUAAACAUGAGACUUUAUCAACCACAAGAAUGAACGAAAAAUAAACGUUAUGUUGCUGACUUGGAACAGACAUUUUCCGAAGAAAAGGAUUGAUUUAAAACCCUGGUAUUUUUGCUGUGGUAUGAUAGUUGUUUUAAAUUCCUUAAUAUUGACAAAAAUGGUUGAGCAACCCAAACAGACAUAAAGGUUAAUGUGAUAUUAAUUGAAAUCCAGCCGCACAAAUUGUAUAAAGAUACAUCACAGAUAUACAACACAACUGUUUAAAAAAUACAAACAAACAUUCAAAUAAACCUAACAAAGACGCCAAC
This 791-nucleotide long non-coding RNA is filed under the name Mytilus galloprovincialis (Mediterranean mussel). Lineage: Eukaryota; Metazoa; Mollusca; Bivalvia; Mytilida; Mytilidae. The record is from RNAcentral.